GAUGAACGCUGGCGGCGUGCCUAAUACAUGCAAGUCGAGCGAACAGACGAGGAGCUUGCUCCUCUGACGUUAGCGGCGGACGGGUGAGUAACACGUGGAUAACCUACCUAUAAGACUGGGAUAACUUCGGGAAACCGGAGCUAAUACCGGAUAAUAUAUUGAACCGCAUGGUUCAAUAGUGAAAGACGGUUUUGCUGUCACUUAUAGCUGGAUCCGCGCCGCAUUAGCUAGUUGGUAAGGUAACGGCUUACCAAGGCAACGAUGCGUAGCCGACCUGAGAGGGUGAUCGGCAACACUGGAACUGAGACACGGUCCAGACUCCUACGGGAGGCAGCAGUAGGGAAUAUUCCGCAAUGGGCGAAAGCUUGACGGAGCAACGCCGCGUGAGUGAUGAAGGUCUUCGGAUCGUAAAACUCUGUUAUUAGGGAAGAACAAAUGUGUAAGUAACUAUGCACGUCUUGACGGUACCUAAUCAGAAAGCCACGGCUAACUACGUG
This 497-nucleotide ribosomal RNA is filed under the name uncultured bacterium. Its description in RNAcentral is "partial 16S ribosomal RNA". It matches the Rfam family "Bacterial small subunit ribosomal RNA", at positions 28 to 507 of the family's 1533-position model. The record is from RNAcentral.